UACGGGGGGGGCUAGCGUUGUUCGGAAUUACUGGGCGUAAAGGGCGCGUAGGCGGUCUGCUAAGUUGGAUGUGAAAACUCUGGGCUUAACCCAGAGCCUGCAUUCAAUACUGACAGGCUAGAGUUCUGGAGGGGAUAGCGGAAUUCCUGGUGUAGCGGUGAAAUGCGUAGAUAUCAGGAAGAACACCCGUGGCUAAGGCGGCUCUCUAGUACGGUACUGACGCUGAGACGCGAAAGCGUGGGGAGCGAACAGG
Molecule: ribosomal RNA, 253 nt
Filed under: uncultured bacterium
Lineage: Bacteria
Description: partial 16S ribosomal RNA
Rfam family: Bacterial small subunit ribosomal RNA
Source: RNAcentral